This is a non-coding RNA of Xyrichtys novacula (pearly razorfish), 10673 nucleotides long. The record is from the annotation of a GenBank genome assembly. Lineage: Eukaryota; Metazoa; Chordata; Actinopteri; Labriformes; Labridae.
ACAAUGGUUUUUGGAAGGGAUUUGGAGCCCAUGCGGUGAUUUCCACUACAGAGUCCUGUCUAUUUUUAAUUUUAAUGCCUGUGGGCCUAAGAUCAGGACCAUCCAGUAUUGGUUUUGGUCUAAAAAUGUAAAAGCUGCAAAAAUAUUAUUGAAAAAAGGUUAAAAUCAGUAAUGAUGUUAAAAAAAACCUUGUAUCUUAACAUAAAGAGACUCUAGUUACCAGAUUAAGACUUUGAACAACCAUAGGCACCCAAAAAAUGUUUCUUUUCUCUGCCUGAAUAUUUAAUUUUGGACAAGUUUAGGAUUUUUUUUAAUUUGAAUAACAGAAAAAAGUCUGUUUGGACGAAUCACCACUCUGAUCUGUUUAAGUGUGACUUUGACAGACACCCUUUUUUUCUGAGCUUCACCUCAUGUGGGUUAAAGCUUAGCAUCACUUUAUUUGAGUCACUUCAUUUUCUCUCUCACUUUUCCCUCUCCCAAUUUCUCUCUCCAAACUUGAUGGCCUACUUUUCCUGCGCUUUGAAAAAUUGUCUUUGGUGAGGGUUGGAUGAAAGUUGUCGAUGGGGAGAGUGGGGGAGCGCUGGGCAGAGGAAGCGAGUGAAGGCUUGCCCCUUUAUCUUCCUGCCCAGACCUCCAUCAUGUCUGGCUCUCCCUCCCUGGUUCUAUCUCUUCCUCUCCGUCUCUCUCUCUGUUUCUCGUGUUGUGAGAUUACUCAUCAGCAUAAAUUCUUACAUCUAGCAUGAAAAACAACGGCUGGUUUUAUGUGACAGACGGCUCGGAAAGUGCCAUGAAACAUUUUGAACACAAACAGACUCUUUGAAGCCUCUGCAGAUCUGCUGGGAAAUAUUCAGACACAAAAAAAUUUGUUAAGUAAGUAAUUAGGAGUGUGUGCUGUCGACCCAGUCUGUGAAUUAAAAGACAGUAAACUGAUCAAUAACAAUGUUGAAUGUCCAUAAUAAACCCAUAUGGCCCAUAAGAUGAGAUACACGGAUGGCAGUGUGAUCUUUAUGUGUAUUAUCGUUUCAUGGACCUGCAACCUGAAGCUGUUCAUUCAUGAAUAUCUUCAUAAAGGCUCAGAGCAAGCUCAGAACAGCAGCCAAUGUACCAACAGUAAUUGUAAGCUAACGUAGCAAAAUGGAGAGUUGGUGGGCACCAAAAGCUAGCCUCAGGUGUAUUCUGUUAUUUGUCGGGUCCUCUAAUAUGACUGCAAAGCUCUGUUAAAGAUAGCACUGUGUCAAGCUGCAUCUUACUAUCUAUCAAUAAAAAAACAGCCAAGAUGUUUUCUGUCGAGGCAUAUUUCUUUGAGGUUUGUUCAGUGAGAACAAAGCUGUGUAAAAAGUAUCACCCCCAACUGUGUCUUACUUUAUCAGUGAAAAAGCAGCUGAACUGGAACGUUUAAGGCAGGACUUGAUAAGCGUCUUAUCAAGUGGCUUUUUGAAUGUUGUUGGGAGGGGUGAAGACCAAUGCAAACAAACGCAAAGACAGAAAAGCACCAAAAUAUGCUGAGACAUAAAAACAAAACAAUCAAAUGCAGAGGUUAAAAAGUGAUUCAGUUUCUGUUACAGCAGUAUGUUUGUGAGUGGGAGGAUAUAAUCUGGGUGUUAUUCCCACAGUCUUGGCUUUUAUGUCUUUACAUGGUCGGCUCUGAUUGUUGAAACAGUCUGAGUCUGAGGUGACAAUGUUGGUACCAGCAAAAAAACCGACACCAACUGUGGCCAGCAUGUUGUUGUUCACAACAAACAGCGUGUCCACAUUUUUAAUUGGUUAAUUUUUUGAUUACAGUCGUACCCAUUUCAUGGUUUAACUGUGUCUAAAAUAUGACUUUGUUGUUCUGGAUCAUGUUUAUAUCUGUUGUUUUCAUUUUUAUACUUGAAGACAAAAAACAGAAGACAAAGAGACCAACAGCAGUAGCUCACACACAUACACACACACACACACACACACACACACCUGUGGCCUGCCUCUGAGGACACAGCUGGCUGUCUUCACCUUCUGACACCCUCCCACCAUCCUCCACACACACACACACACACACACACACACACACACAUACACACACACACACACACACACCUCCUCCUCCUCCUUCGUCCUUCAUCAGUCCUCACGUUUGUUCCCCCGCUGCUGGCUGGCUAAGGCAGCUGUCACCAUGGUUACCAGCCAGGAUCACACCCAAUUGUGAGACGGAUGUGGCGCCUGAGGAUGGAGGAGGAAGGGUGAAAAGGAGGAGGAGGAAAGUGUACAGUAUCUGAGGAAGAAAGGAUGAUUGAGCUGUAGUGGAAGUCUUGCAGAGGUCAGCAGAAAAAGACACAAAUGCUGACAGUGUGACCUUUGACCUGUUCCAUCCUGAAGAUGCACCAACAGGCUGAAACCUGGUGAUUUAAACUCACAUUCAUUCAUGAGCAACAUCAAACUAGGCUCAGGACACACAUGAGUUUAGAUGCACUAAAUCAAAGAAAAGAGAGCUGGGACUAAACUGAACAAAGUCAGGCUCAGCUGUUUCCUCACCUCUUUCUGGAGUCCUCAGACAGAGAUGAAGUCGUAUCUCUGUCCUGUUCCAAAUGACUGAACAAACUCAGAUCUUUUCCAAACACAAAGCAGCCACCUCACUGCGAAUUCAGUGUUGUUUCCUUGACAACGAGGCUGUAAAUUGUGUUUUUCAGCUCAUCCCCAACUGAUCAGCUGAGUCUGUAUUUACCUGACGCUGAGUAGCCUCCAUCCUCAGAUUAGAUCAUCAGCAGGAACAACACGUCCCUGAAAGAAGAAGGAUGAAGAAUUAAACUCCACUCCCAAAGAAAAGAAAGGUUAUCUAGACAGAUGACCUUUGACCCCAUGAGUGGACUCUCCUGGUGUCUCUAAACAAAACAAAAUCAAAAUGGCAGCUGUGUUUUGUUUCUGAUCCCCGCGGAGAGAAAACAUCUCUGAGGCGAGCAGCAUGGAUCACAUUCAAACAUCUCACUGUUUACUUGGCUCAGUUUGCUGGAGAUCUCCCAUGAGCCUCUGCUUCUCUAAAAAUCCCAGAGCAGUCAACACAUAGCGGCUGGGGUCUAACAAUACCAAAGAAGUUAGGAUGUUGAAAUGAUGAUGAAAAAACAAUUGAGAUGGUUUGCAUAACAUUGUAAGUCCUAAUUUGAUCAGAAAAGUACAAAAAACAAGAUUAUGUAAAGACUGUAAACCAUCAAAAUCUGUUUUUAUCAACAUAAUACACAGUGCCCUGGUGGUUUUGGAGUAUUGGUUGUGAAAAUAUACGAUAUCCUGCAAUAUCAAAAAUCCUGUUUUGUCCUUUGGAAGUCUCUCAUAAACGUGACGUAAAAAUUAUAAGCCAAUUUCUCACUCCGUCAAGAGGAACUUAGAUUAAGAUGUGAUGUUUAAUUGCUUUUGAAACACCCUGAUAACAGGACAUGUGACCUCAGAGAGCAACACUUCGCCUCUUUAUCAGUCCUGAAGUCAAGGUGAACAGCAGCUCUGCCUGUUUAAACUCCAGAGGCAUCAAUCAGACUGAUGACGGCCACGCUCUCAGCCCAUCCAGACCUCCAACAGAAGGCUGCAGCAGCCGGGUCGUAAACCUGCCAGCAGCCGAGCGCUCCCACGGCGCCAACACAUCACCCGGUUUAAAUCCUCCGCCGUUUAAACUGGAACUGUUUGGGCCUGGAGCUGCAGCAGAGCCACUUUGUGUCCAUCAGAUUUAUGAGCUCGUUUGAUUUUGAUGAAGAGCAGGACGGCCAGAGGACGACACAAACCCGCCGCUCUGUAAUUCAACUCUGCUCUGACAACCAAUCAGCUUCUACAAUCAGAGCAGGACGACCACUUUUUCCAAACAGUUAACCAUCAUUCAGAGCCAGAAAAAGUUCAGGAAAGUCUUUUUAUGUGUGACGUCUGCAGGAAUAUUUAUGUUGACAUUUCUGUCCUUGUCCAGCUCUCCUUUCAAAGUUUUGACAACACAUCUUCAGAGGUAGAUAAGGCAACUGUCAUCCAAAAUCUCAGUUAAUCGUCAAUCUGUUAACAAAGACGCCAACAAUGACGUUAAAUUAAAAUUCUGUUCAUAAUCCAGUAUAACCCAAAUACACAAGACCCAUACAGAUCCACAGAGGACCUGAAAUCCUUAGGGACUAUUUGAUUUUUCUCAGGUUGUUUGUGAUCCAAUGUACAAUAUCAGAACAAGAUUUGAGAGGAUCACAGAGAUAGGAAUAAGCAGAGAGGACCAAGGAAAGAGGGUGGAGCAGAAAGGAACCAGGAGAGAGGAUCGAGGAGAGAGGAACGUGGACUGAGGAACGAAUUUUGAGUGAUACAGAAGUGCAGACUCUUGACCCAGUCUUUUGUCUGUCUAACAUGCAUGUUGUCAUCUGACUUUGUGCAAAAUUCCUGUUUAUCGGAGACAAAAUAACGUUUGUGUUUAAAGGAGGAAAUAAUUAGCAUAACUGAAAAAAAGUAACUAAUGACAGACCAUUAAUAACUUUUAUAUUUUAUUAAUACAGUCCAAAAUCCCAUGGAUAACAUUAUUUUCUUGUCUUAGAUAUCUUGUUAGACAUUUCUUCUGUAAAAUGUGUGUGUGUGUGUGUGUGUUGGAUGCACACACAGAGCAGUCUGUUUGUUCAGAUGCAGGGUAACAGUGAUAGAGGAAGUGAAAGAACGACUGGAUACCUCACAACGCCAACCUGCAACUAUUACCUUCUGACACCCAGCAGUGUGUACGUGUGCGUGCGUGUUUGUCUGUGUGUGUGUGUGUGUGUGUGUUUGAAUGUGACAGCAGGUAAUAUGUGGGUGGCAUUCCCAAAGAAAAGAGGCACGUCUCCAUGUUUUGGUGUGGAGUUGGUUAAAGUGUUUUUAAAACCUGUCAUGGUGUGUUCAGGAUCACUCUGGACAUCUGGUUAUUAAAGCCGAGAGAGUUCUUUACAAGCAAUGCAAAACAAACACACAGGAAUGAUAAAAGUAUAACUGUAUUACUUUUUUUAAAAUGUUAUUUUGCUCACAAACAAUCUAAAGCAAUGUUUAAAAAGGCAGACACUCGGCUGGGCAGCUGUAACAAGGUUGUUAUUGUUCAGACUCAUGAAUCUGCAGAUUUCUGACAUGUAGGGUCGUAAAGCUGACAGAUGUGGUUCAUAGAGGACGAUGAAACUGAAGCUGAUGAAUGAGAUGUGGUGAAGGUGAAUGGCUGCUCAGGCCACAGAAUAAAACUAACUUCACUGCCAGAUAGUGGCAAGGGGGGCAAAGAUAAAGGUCUCCAUGUGUUUUUAUUGCUGGCUUUCCUGAACCAGGUAAUUUCACUGUCUCGCUGCCCUGCAACAGACAUAAAUGUAGCCCGUAAGUCUUAAUGAGAUGCUCAAAGAGCUUGAAUAAGGUGAAUUGGGGGUUUAGUGGCUGUGAAGGAGCGCGGAGCAGAGUCACAUGUGAUGUUAUAGCUGAUUGAUGUAAAUGAAGGAAAGAUAGAGGAAAGUAAGGACAGAAAGAACCGGGUGCUUAAAUUCUGCAGCUGUAUCGGAGGCCCCCGCACCCCUGCAGUGAGUCUUGUACUUGGGGUAAACCUCUUGAAAAAGCAAACACUGGUGUGGACGUAGAGGACGGUCACGUCUUCCUGUGAUUGACUCCUCCAGGAAAAACAUUCUGCAGCGACCUCCUGCAGAGUCCGGGCUGUGAACCUGCACUGCUCUGCAGGCUGCUGACACCCCUUUGUCUACACAACACAACACAACACAACGACCAAAAUAUAAUGUGUUAAUCACAAGCAUUCUCAUGCAAAGAAUGAAAUGCACUUAAAAAUAUGCUGCAGGGCAAACAAUGUCUCUGUUUGUUGGUGCUGAUCAUACAUAUUUAAAUGAGCUAUUUUGCAUUUAUUUGGGGCAAAAUGUUCAGUACCAAAAACUAUCUGCACAAGGAGAAAUGUGCUGCAAAACCUCCAAAACAGAUGUAGCUUUUUACUGCAUGUUUUUUUCAUCUGCAGUGCACUACUGUGUGAAGAGCAAAGUGCUGCAAAUACGAAGACAGAAAAAAGCUGCAAAUCCAGAUACAAGCAAAAAACUACUUUGACUUUCAUCGAAGAAGGUGGAAGAACCUGUGCAGUUUCAUCUUCUCUAUGGGUCAUAACAAACUUUAACUUUGUUAACUUUGCACAAAACACAUGCCCUAAAGGUCCCCCAUGAUGAAAAAAUCUGCUUUUGGGUGGUUUUCUACCAAUACUAUGCAUUUCCCCGAAGCCAACUUCCUGAAACUUCCUGAAGAGUCCUCCUGUAUGUGAUCGACAAUUUACCAAGAUUACCCGUCCACACAGAGGACUCAGAUACUCUUCAGAAAAGGAUUAAUGCUAUUGAGCUUACUAGUAAUUAUGAUCAUUAAUCUGUGGUUAAAAUAAGACCCUGGAUGUUGCAGAAAGAUAUGAAGACCAGAAAGCUGACUGACUCACAGGUCGAGUGGAUUUUACCACAUCAUAUGAUUUUACUUUAAAAGCUUUUAUUGUUUAUGUAACAAUAUAACGUUGUACAGUACAGGGUUGACUCAAAUAAUCACUAAGCACUGAAUCUUACAUGAUUUGUUUCAGAUGUACCCUAAGUGGAAUAGUCCUGUUUAAUCAGAGCAUUAAAGUAUCUCUUCAGCUUUCUGCCAUUACAGUUAAUGCUAACGUGCAAUCUCCCUGCUAAAGUAAGAAACACCAAUCUGAGUUGUAUCAAAGUAAAACUUCUUUAACCAGCAGUGAAUCUGUUGCUUUUAAACGUGAUAGUAUCCUGAUACAAAUGUCGGCUGUGUUGCUGCCGGCUGUCUUCUCACAUGCUGUGAGCGAAUGAGGAAGCAGAGGUCUGAAUAAACUGAUUAAAAUGAUCUUUAGUCAGAAGAAACAUUAAAGGGAUGGAAAAGAAACAUCAAAUGAGAAAACACCAGAGUCACGCCGGAUUUAUCCUGCCAAGCAUGUCGGCAUCAAAAGGCUUUUAUUUUGUUGAGACGUGUUGGGGCUGUGUAGUUCUGCCAGAAGAGCCUCCAGCAGAGAGAGCAGAGCGUUCAGUUCGGUUUGCAUCAGAGUUUCAUCAGGUGUUUCCAAAGCAACACAAAAAUCUGAGCGUUAAACACACAGGAUCCCUAAAACAUGUAAAAACCUGCAGCUUAAUUCAAUCUUACACUUUUUUUUUAAACUAAUGCAUUCAUAUAAAGCAGCUUUUCAAAUUUAGAGUUUAAGAGUGCUAAUUUUCUCGCUGUGAAAAACUGCUAAUGACAGAUAAUAAUCAUUACAAUCAUUCUAUUAUACAGAUCAAUCUGCUGAUAGAGUGGUUUGAUCAAAUCUAAAAAAAAUCUAAUUUCUGUCUAAACCUCUACUAAUUUUUCUGUUGUUUGUUUCUACAUAUUUUUUAGAGCUUUGUGUCUCUUUUUAGUUGUUUUGUCUCAGUAAAGUUUGUGGUCUCUAAUUUUACUGGUUUCUGUCAUUUUUGUCUCUUUUUUAUUUCCCCUCUUCUCUUUUCUCUUCUUCUUCUUUUUUUUUUUUUUUGUCUUUUUCUGUUGUAUGUCUCAGUCUUUUUGUGUGUUUUUCUUUUGUUUAUCUUUGUUGUUGUUUUGUGUUUGUUGUGCUUCUUUGUUUCUCUUUUUUGUUUUCAGUCUCUCCAUAGUUUUUUUGUGUUUCUUUUUGCAUUAACUUUUGUAGUUUGUUUUCUUUUUGGGUUUUCUGAACUGCGACUGUAAUUUAUUGACUUUUUUAUUUGAUCAGUGUAAUUUGUUGUUUGCUUUAUGUUUUUUUUCUGUUGUUUUGUAUCUCUCUGUUUGUCAUUUUGUGAUUUUUGUGAGUUUUUCCUCUUCAUUUAUUUUAAUACUUACCAUUUUUGAUUUUUUUGUGUGUGUGCGUGUGUCUUUCUUUCUCACUCUCUUUGUAGUUGUUUUGUUUCUCUUUUUGAGUCUCUUUGUUGUCUCUUCUCUUGGCCCCUAUCCUUUCUGUCCUGCCGCAAAAAAGAGGAGGUCGUUUGUUUGUUUUUUCUUUUGUUUUUGUCUCAAGUCUUUUGUCUCGUAUAUUUAUUAUGUAUUUUUUCCUCUGGUACCUUUUUUAUUUUAAGGGCCUUAUAUCUGAAUGUAAGUUUUUGGUCUUUCUUCGUAAUUUUAUGAGUUUAUUUCAUGUGUUUUGUCUAUUUGUGUAAUUUGUGGUUGGUUUGUAUUUCAUUGUUUUGUCUGUUAAGAACAAAAAUUAUAGCACAUAACAUCUUUUGCUUUUAUUCCCUGAAGUGAGGAUUCUUUAACCUUACAGUGACAUUUAUUCUGUUAAACUUCCUCUUGUCUUUAGAGCCGUUUCAUGCUGCUUUGCAGUGGUUGUGUAAGUCCUCUGUGUUUCUGCGGUCAGAUUGCAAAGUGUGUAACACGUCUCCACCACAGACAGCAGAGACGUUUGCUGUUGCAGAACAACACAGAGUGACCUCAACUACGGGGUUAAUGUGGUCAUGAGAUCAAGAGAAACAACGGGAAAAUCCUCCAACUGUCCAACUUGAACUAACGUCAUCCAGCUACCUUAAAAAUCCUCUCACUUCUUCGCUCCCACUCUCACUUCCUGUGGGUAAAAGUCCUCCAUACAGCUUUGCAUUUAUCAUUACACUAAGUGAUUAGUGUGGAUGUGUUACUGAACAUCUCUCUACUAAUGCUGCAUGUGGUACAAGGGGAGCUAAUUUAUCUAAAAUAUUGUCCAAAAACCUGUGGUGACUUCCACAACAUGGUCUUGUCUGUUUUCAAUGUGGAGAUAUCCUUAAAUACAUAUAAAAAAACAGAAUACAGUAACUUAUACAAUCUUUUAUUAUCAGCACAGGCAAUAGCAAACAGGUGGCCCCUUCACAUUAGAUUCAAUGCCAGUUGCUGCUGGUCUACCUGAAUCUGGUGUGGGAUGCCAAAGGCUUCUUUACAGUAGUUGAGCUUUACUUUGCUGUUGAGCUCAGAACAUCACCUACCCUCCAGCAGGUAAACUAGGUGAGUUUAUGUUGAUGAACAAUUAGCAACAGAAGGUGGUUCAUCCAGAAACAGGUUUUUGUGUUCUAAUAAAAGUUGAAAUUUCCCCCUUCAACAUUUUUGUUCCACAUCCACCUGAUGUAAUGAUCAUCUUUGCCCUUAACGACAUCAGCUGACCUAAGGCGUUGAAAACAAAGCUAACGGGCACUUCCUCUUCAGCAGCAGUGAACUUGGCUGUCUGUCACGCUGUGGUUACAGAGGGAAAAAAAAAAACAUAACAGACCUCUGUCUCACUUCCUGUAGUAAAACGGUCAUCUGCUCAAGAACAACCAAAACAGGAAGUGAGUGGAGUGUGACAGUAUGACGAAGCGUUUUUAUUUAUCCGGUAACACGUGAGAAAAGCUGUCUGUGGUUUGCUGCAGCAGCAAUGUGCUAGAAACUGUGGCUCUGAGGCUACGAGGACAUUUAUUUCUAAAGUGUGCAAUUUAAGACAACUUUGUGAAGGGCGUUGUUUCAGUUCUCAUUUUUUAAGGUCUUCUUUUUCAUUCCUGAAUGUAUUUGUACCGAUUAAACAUUUUGACCUCUUUUAGGUUUGCCUGGGACACUGCCUGAGUAAAUCUGCAGAAUGUGCAAACUCUAUAAAAACUUUGAUUUCCUCAAUUCUUGAUAGAAAAACUAGACCCAGUCAGGGGUGUUACUUUUUACACAGCUUUGUUGUCAUAAAAUGGCCCCUAAAUUAUGCUUUGAUGGUAAACAUCCAAGGCUAGCCGUUAGCGCUAACUUCAUGUUGCUAUCGAUGAUGAAUAUUUUUGACUGUGGCUGUUAAGGAACACGUGACCACUUUGGUGCAUUGGUAAGAGUGCAUGAAUACCAGGAUGUUAUUGUCAAAAUGUUUAUUGAUAAUGGUUUGAUUAUAACUCAGAAUGUGUGUGUUUCAGUGCACAAGCUUAACAGCGCUGACAGCCUUAGCCUUAUUUAUACUAACCAUAGACUGUAUAAACUAUGGACAACUUGGCUCAGCCUUCCGCCACUACACAGAUUUAAAGCCAAAUUGCUCUCGGUAUUUCCUGGAUUUUCUCCACUUCCUGGAACCACCACUCUCUCAGUAACAUAUGCAUUCCACCACUUAUGCAGUAGCAUUUUAUGCAUUUGGCAGGAGAGUCACAGGGAGUCACUAUGAUGACGCUCAGCUCAAACAGUGUAUCCUCCAGGUGAGCUACGCAAUCUUCGUACACCCAUAGGCUGUAUCAAGUGUUAAUCAUAGAAAACAUGAACCCCCUCAUAACUUUUAAAAAUUGAGCUGUACAGUAAAAAUAGGACAUGUCAACAUCGCAACCAGGAAGGAGAAAAUUUUUUUUUUCUUUGUAAUAAAUUUCGAAAGUUCGCUCACAGCUCCAUAGGGAUUGCUGGUGGAGGCGGGAUUUAUGACCUAUACUGCAGCCCGUCACCAAAGGGUGCUGUUCUUGCCGUGGCUUCACCCAGCGAGGAGGCAGAUGGUGUCUAUUCUAUAUAUAAAGUCUAUGGUACAAACAGUAUGCCUAAAGACACCCAUAGUUAGCCUGGAAGUUUAAUGACUAAUUAACUUGUCAUAUAGGUUAUGUUUAAAAGGGUUAACAACAAUCUGUGCCUCUCAUACAUUUUAAAUGUUUUAACUUUAUUGUAACUAUUUUUACAGCAGUGAACAGUGAGGAAAUUUUUAAUUAUUGUCUGUUACCUUUUUGAUACUACAUAUAGUGUUUUUCAGCUCUUAUAACUGUAACAGCACCACCCAGACU